Molecule: long non-coding RNA, 2070 nt
Organism: Ficedula albicollis (Collared flycatcher)
Lineage: Eukaryota; Metazoa; Chordata; Aves; Passeriformes; Muscicapidae
Source: Ensembl
GCGGGGUUUAAAAAUGGGCGGAUCACCGUGGGCGUGGUCAUUGUGUGGGCGUGGCUCGUUCCCUCAGCACCACUCGGGAUGGGCGUGGCCCUGCGGUGGGCGUGGCCCCCACCGGGCAGGGUCCCCCCAGGGCAGGGACCCUUCCACUCCUCCCUGCCGUCGCCCGCGGUUUGCCUUGGCCCGAGGACGCCCAAUAUGGGGCAGAACAUCCCAAACGCGAGGUUUAGCGCUCCCAGCCUUGGCGCAGAGCAUUCCCAUGAGCGAUGUUCCCACUACCAGCGUGUCCCCAAAGGGAUGUCCCCAGAAUGAUGUGCCUGCCACCACCACCACGUCCGUAAAAGGAUGUCCCCACUGCUGGUGUGACUGCAAGUGGAUGUCUCAUACCCAAAGAUGUGCACAAACGGAAACCACCUGGUUCUCCAGAUGUGUUUGAACAUCCCUGUGCCUUCAGCUGUAUGCCCACCUGUGACAUCGGGGACUGCUCCAGCUGUUGGUCUGAAUGCAGCUGCAUCCCCCAGACCACCCAACCCUCCCAGAUGUGAACAUCCUGGAGAUCCUUGGUGCCCCACGUGUGGAAAAGCCUCCCCCCUCCCCAGCUGUGCCCCGAGAAUCCUCCAGACGUGAAUGCCCGUGGGGACCCAGAUGUGCAAGCACGUGUGGGCACAUUUCUCUUGCUGCUGUGCAUGCAGAUGUGAGGCCCCUUCUCCUUCCCAAUAUUCCAGCUGUGCAUACCCAGAUGUAUGUCCCCCCCACUCUUCCCCCAUUGCCCCUUCUCCUCCCCACCUCCUCUUUUUCCCUGAGCCCUCUCCAUGUUCCCCACACUCCCGACUUCCCGUUUUUCCCCUAUUCCAAGUGCCGCUGUAACAAAAUCCCAUAACGAGCCCCUCACAGCAGCCCCUCCAUAAUGAACCUCCCUAACAAAUUCCCCCAAAUGCCCCCCGCACCCGGCGGCUCGCUGAUGGAGGCUCAUUGCUUUCCACACCAGCCCCAACACAAUAGUGAAGUGAUGCCCCCCGCACCCGGCGGCUCGCUGAAGGAGGCUCAUUGCUUUCCACACCAGCCCCAACACAAUAGUGAAGUGGCCAAUUGCUGCUAACAGAUUCAAUGGCACCAUGUGCUGAUUCCUUCGUGUUUCACACCGCCCCCCCGCAAAUUCAAGGCCAUUGGUGGUGCCAGCACCCCAAAGUGUCCCUAUCCCUACCAGCACACCCCGGUGUUGGGGUGCGUUACUCACUCGGACCCCGUGAGGUGCGGGGUGAUGCUGCCUUUCAGGGUUCACUGAGAGGGGGUCCCGAGGGGGGGUGACAGCAGCCCCAAGUGGUGUCACGUAAUUUGGGGUGAAGCCAGGGAGCUGCUGCGUCUCUUCCUUCUCCCCCUGCAGCUCUAGGGCCCCCCUUUCCUCUGCCCCCUCAAAAGUCAUCCCGGUUCCAGUCCACCAUGAAGCCCCCACCCCACACGGAACACCCCCCGCCCUCGUCCCCAUCCCGCUCCUCAGGGACGGGGAGGGAGCGCAGGGACCCCCCCCUGACCCCGCCCAGCACCGCCCCGGCCCGGCCCCCACCCGGGGGCGGUGCCGCAGGCUGAGCCGAGCCCAGCCGGGCUGAGCGGAGCCGGACUGAGUCGGGCUGGGCUGAGCCGCGCUGGGCUGAGCUGGACUGGGCUGAACCGGGCUGGACUGAGCUAAACUGGGCUGAACUGAGCCGAGCCCAACCGAGCAGAGCCAAACUGAGCUGAGCUGGACCGGGCUGAGCCGGAUCGGGCUGAGUCUUGCCGGUCUGAGCCUGACUGGGCUGAGCUGAACCGAUCUGGGCUGAACUGAGCCAAACCCAGCCGAGCAGAGCUAAACUGAGCUGAGCUGAGCCGGAUCGGGCUGAAUCUUGCCGGGCUGAGCCCGACUGGGCUGGGCUGAGUCUUUCCGGGUUGAGCCUGCCUGGGCUGAGCUGAGCCGGACCGUGCUGAACUGAGCCGAGCCCUGCCGAGCAGAGCCGAAGUGAGCUGAGCCGGAUCGGGCUGAGCUGAGCCAGUCUUUGCCGUGCCGGGUAGUGUCGUGCAGAGCCGACCCGAGCCAAG